RNAcentral lists this small RNA (505 nucleotides) under Arabidopsis thaliana (thale cress). Its description in RNAcentral is "ATSL257130". Lineage: Eukaryota; Viridiplantae; Streptophyta; Magnoliopsida; Brassicales; Brassicaceae. The record is from RNAcentral.
UUAUAUAAUUUUUUCUAAAUUAGGAUGAUUUGAUAUGUUUAAUAUUAGUGGUCUUAGAAAAUAAUAAAUUAAAGAUUUAACCCGUAUUGAAACGGUGGAUUAAUUAUAUUUUAUUUUUUUAUUAAUGUUGAUUCAAAAACCCGUCCCUCUAAAUCCGUCUUGCCAAAAAGCCAUUUAUUUAUUAAUAUUAUUUUUAUUAAUGAUAUGACUCUGAAUUAUAAUCUAAACAUUUUAGUUAAUAACAUAGGAGUGCACCAUAUUUAUUUAAUAGGAGAAUGUACCAUAUGAGCCGAACGCACUUUUAUCCAAAUCCACCAAAAAAGUCUUGCAAAAAUACUAUAGAGAUAAGAAACGAUUGUCGGUUUUGAUAGGUAUAAGAUUAGCAAAUAUAUUUGUUAGCUUAAAUUAGUUAAAGAAUACAAAUUGAAAAGGUAUAUUACACUUUAUUCGAAUAUAGUAUCAAAACUUAUAUAACACAGAGAUUUGUUACUUUUUAAUUGUUGAA